Molecule: ribosomal RNA, 446 nt
Filed under: uncultured bacterium
Lineage: Bacteria
Description: bacterial SSU rRNA
Rfam family: Bacterial small subunit ribosomal RNA
Source: RNAcentral
GCCAGACUCCUACGGGAGGCAGCAGUGGGGGAUAUUGCACAAUGGGGGAAACCCUGAUGCAGCGACGCCGCGUGAGUGAAGAAGUAUUUCGGUAUGUAAAGCUCUAUCAGCAGGGAAGAAAAAAGACGGUACCUGACUAAGAAGCCCCGGCUAACUACGUGCCAGCAGCCGCGGUAAUACGUAGGGGGCAAGCGUUAUCCGGAUUUACUGGGUGUAAAGGGAGCGUAGACGGCAAUACAAGUCGGAAGUGAAAUACCCGGGCUCAACCUGGGAACUGCUUUGGAAACUGUAUGGCUGGAGUGCUGGAGAGGUAAGCGGAAUUCCUAGUGUAGCGGUGAAAUGCGUAGAUAUUAGGAGGAACACCAGUGGCGAAGGCGGCUUACUGGACAGUAACUGACGUUGAGGCUCGAAAGCGUGGGGAGCAAACAGGAUUAGAUUCCCUCGUA